UCGAGAAUCAUUCACAAUGGGCGAAAGCCUGAUGGUGUGACGCCGCGUGGAGGAUGACGGUCUUCGGAUUGUAAACUCCUGUCAAGUGGGAGUAAAGCUUGGUGUUAACUGCAUCCAAGUCUGAGAGUACCACUAGAGGAAGAGACGGCUAACUCUGUGCCAGCAGCCGCGGUAAUACAGAGGUCUCAAGCGUUGUUCGGAAUCACUGGGCGUAAAGGGUGCGUAGGCUGUGUUGUAAGUCAGAGGUGAA
RNAcentral lists this ribosomal RNA (250 nucleotides) under uncultured bacterium. RNAcentral describes it as "partial 16S ribosomal RNA". It matches the Rfam family "Bacterial small subunit ribosomal RNA", at positions 355 to 598 of the family's 1533-position model. The record is from RNAcentral.